AUGGAUGAAACUGAUUCAUUCUCUGCUGUCCACGCAGGCAGUAAAAGACUCCCUAAACCCAAGGGGCUCAGGGGAAAUCAACUCUCCCGAGCUGCUGGGAAGAGCCAGACCUCCCACCCCGGAUGGGAGCAAACCUUUCCCUGCCCGCCCCGAGCCCCGCAUCACAAAGCUGCUGCAGGUGAACGCCUCACCAACGUUGCCUGGCAUCAGCCACACCCCUGGCACCAGCCACGGGCACCCCGAGCCAAACGCCCUGGUCCCAGCAAGCCCACAGGAUCCAGAGAGGAGAACGUACCCAUUACAGCACCCAUCGCAAGAGCUACUCCAGCCUGGAGGUCUACGGGGAGAGCCUCAAUGCAUCUCUUCCAGCGAAUGCUACAGCCGAGUCCUGGAGACAUGGUGAGGGGCGCGGGGGGAGCCAGGGCUUUGGGCUCAGCACCAAUUCUGAAUGAAUGGGACCCUUCCGCGUGGGAAGCGCCGGCGAGCCAGCCGUCAAAGCCCCAGCUGCCUGGGCUGCGUGCUCUGCUAAUUAAGAGUCUGACAGAAAGGUAG
This 552-nucleotide long non-coding RNA is filed under the name Anas platyrhynchos platyrhynchos (common mallard). Its description in RNAcentral is "lncRNA (ENSAPLG00000021594.1)". Lineage: Eukaryota; Metazoa; Chordata; Aves; Anseriformes; Anatidae. The record is from RNAcentral.